GAUGAACGCUGGCGGCGUGCCUAAUACAUGCAAGUCGAGCGAACAGAUGAGGAGCUUGCUCCUCUGACGUUAGCGGCGGACGGGUGAGUAACACGUGGAUAACCUACCUAUAAGACUGUGAUAACUUCGGGAAACCGGAGCUAAUACCGGAUAAUAUAUUGAACCGCAUGGUUCAAUAGUGAAAGACGGUUUUGCUGUCACUUAUAGAUGGAUCCGCGCCGCAUUAGCUAGUUGGUAAGGUAACGGCUUACCAAGGCAACGAUGCGUAGCCGACCUGAGAGGGUGAUCGGCCACACUGUAACUGAGACACGGUCCAGACUCCUACGGGAGGCAGCAGUAGGGAAUCUUCCGCAAUGGGCGAAAGCCUGACGGAGCAACGCCGCGUGAGUGAUGAAGGUCUUCGGAUCGUAAAACUCUGUUAUUAGGGAAGAACAAAUGUGUAAGUAACUAUGCACGUCUUGACGGUACCUAAUCAGAAAGCCACGGCUAACUACGUG
This 497-nucleotide ribosomal RNA is filed under the name uncultured bacterium. RNAcentral's name for it is "partial 16S ribosomal RNA". It matches the Rfam family "Bacterial small subunit ribosomal RNA", at positions 28 to 507 of the family's 1533-position model. The record is from RNAcentral.